UACGUAGGGUCCAAGCGUUGUCCGGAUUUAUUGGGCGUAAAGAGCUCGUAGGCGGUUCGGUAAGUCGGAUGUGAAAACUCAGGGCUCAACCCCGAGACGCCAUCCGAUACUGCUGUGACUUGAAUCUGGUAGGGGGGCACGGAAUUCCUGGUGUAGCGGUGAAAUGCGCAGAUAUCAGGAGGAACACCAAUGGCGAAGGCAGCUCGCUGGAACGGUACUGACGCUGAGGCGCGAAAGCGUGGGGAGCAAACAGG
Molecule: ribosomal RNA, 254 nt
Filed under: uncultured bacterium
Lineage: Bacteria
Description: partial 16S ribosomal RNA
Rfam family: Bacterial small subunit ribosomal RNA
Source: RNAcentral